GCAUAUCAAUAAGCGGAGGAAAAGAAACCAACAGGGAUUGCCCUAGUAACGGCGAGUGAAGCGGCAACAGCUCAAAUUUGAAAUCUGGCUCUCUUUGGGGGUCCGAGUUGUAAUUUGCAGAGGAUGCUUUGGCAUUGGCGGCGGUCUAAGUUCCUUGGAACAGGACAUCACAGAGGGUGAGAAUCCCGUACGUGGUCGCCUGCCUUUGCCGUGUAAAGCUCCUUCGACGAGUCGAGUUGUUUGGGAAUGCAGCUCUAAAUGGGAGGUAAAUUUCUUCUAAAGCUAAAUACUGGCCAGAGACCGAUAGCGCACAAGUAGAGUGAUCGAAAGAUGAAAAGUACUUUGGAAAGAGAGUCAAAAAGCACGUGAAAUUGUUGAAAGGGAAGCGCUUGCAGCCAGACUUGCCCGCAGUUGCUCACCUAGGCUUUGGCCUGGGGCACUCUUCUGCGGGCAGGCCAGCAUCAGUUUGGGCGGUUGGAUAAAGGCCUCUGUCACGUAUCUCCCUUCGGGGUGACCUUAUAGGGGAGGCGCAAUGCAACCAGCCCGGACUGAGGUCCGCGCAUCUGCUAGGAUGCUGGCGUAAUGGCUGUAAGCGGCCCGUCUUGAAACACGGACCAAGGAGUCUAACAUCUAUGCGAGUGUUUGGGUGUCAAGCCCGAGCGCGCAAUGAAAGUGAACGGAGGUGGGAACCCUUUGGGUGCACCAUCGACCGAUCCUGAUGUCUUCGGAUGGAUUUGAGUAAGAGCAUAGCUGUUGGGACCCGAAAGAUGGUGAACUAUGCUUGAAUAGGGUGAAGCCAGAGGAAACUCUGGUGGAGGCUCGCAGCGGUUCUGACGUGCAAAUCGAUCGUCAAAUUUGGGCAUAGGGGCGAAAGACUAA
This 879-nucleotide ribosomal RNA is filed under the name Paraphaeosphaeria sporulosa. RNAcentral's name for it is "eukaryotic LSU rRNA". It matches the Rfam family "Eukaryotic large subunit ribosomal RNA", at positions 38 to 934 of the family's 3401-position model. The record is from RNAcentral. Lineage: Eukaryota; Fungi; Ascomycota; Dothideomycetes; Pleosporales; Didymosphaeriaceae.